UACGUAGGGUGCGAGCGUUAAUCGGAAUUACUGGGCGUAAAGCGUGCGCAGGCGGUUUGUUAAGACAGUUGUGAAAUCCCCGGGCUCAACCUGGGAACUGCAAUUGUGACUGGCAGGCUAGAGUUUGGCAGAGGGGGGUGGAAUUCCUGGUGUAGCAGUGAAAUGCGUAGAUAUCAGGAGGAACACCGAUGGCGAAGGCAGCCCCCUGGGCCAUGACUGACGCUCAUGCACGAAAGCGUGGGGAGCAAACAGGAUUAGAUACCCUGGUAGUCCACGCCCUAAACGAUGUCUACUAGUUGUUGGGUCUUCAUUGACUUAGUAACGAAGCUAACGCGUGAAGUAGACCGCCUGGGGAGUACGGCCGCAAGGUUAAAACUCAAAGGAAUUGACGGGGACCCGCACAAGCGGUGGAUGAUGUGGAUUAAUUCGAUGCAACGCGAAAAACCUUACCUACCCUUGACAUGUCAGGAAGUCCGCAGAGAUGUGGAUGUGCUCGAAAGAGAACCUGAACACAGGUGCUGCAUGGCUGUCGUCAGCCCGUGUCGUGAGAUGUUGGGUUAAGUCCCGCAACGAGCGCAACCCUUGUCAUUAGUUGCUACGAAAGGGCACUCUAAUGAGACUGCCGGUGACAAACCGGAGGAAGGUGGGGAUGACGUCAAGUCCUCAUGGCCCUUAUGGGUAGGGCUUCACACGUCAUACAAUGGUCGGUACAGAGGGCUGCCAACCCGCGAGGGGGAGCUAAUCCUUUAAAACCGAUCGUAGUCCGGAUUGUAGUCUGCAACUCGACUGCAUGAAGUCGGAAUCGCUAGUAAUCGCGGAUCAGAAUGUCGCGGUGAAUACGUUCCCGGGUCU
RNAcentral lists this ribosomal RNA (852 nucleotides) under uncultured bacterium. RNAcentral's name for it is "SSU rRNA". It matches the Rfam family "Bacterial small subunit ribosomal RNA", at positions 524 to 1381 of the family's 1533-position model. The record is from RNAcentral.